GCAAACUUGGUCAUUUAGAGGAAGUAAAAGUCGUAACAAGGUUUCCGUAGGUGAACCUGCGGAAGGAUCAUUAUUGAAUAAAAGUGUGGUUUGGGGGUUGUCGCUGGCAUCCUUGGAUGCACUUGCACGCUCCUUGCCAUUCUGUCAUUCAUUCACCUCUUCCACCUGUGCAUUCUCAUGUAGGCCAGAUAGCCAUCGGUGGCGUUCCUUUGGGACGCUUCUUUGGACUUGCUGUUGCUGCUCCACGUUGUGACAGCUCCUCCUGUAGUGUUGUGGAUGGAUGGUCUGGUCUAUGCGCUUUAUCAAACACCUCUUUAUGUUUACGGUUUGUGGGCUUAGUAAAGCAUGUAUGCAUGCACAACUUUCAACAACGGAUCUCUUGGCUCUCGCAUCGAUGAAGAACGCAGC
RNAcentral lists this unclassified non-coding RNA (408 nucleotides) under uncultured fungus. Its description in RNAcentral is "partial contains small subunit ribosomal RNA, internal transcribed spacer 1, and 5.8S ribosomal RNA". The stretch from base 1 to 73 matches the Rfam family "Eukaryotic small subunit ribosomal RNA", at positions 1759 to 1831 of the family's 1831-position model. The record is from RNAcentral. Lineage: Eukaryota; Fungi.